This 351-nucleotide unclassified non-coding RNA is filed under the name plant metagenome. RNAcentral describes it as "partial contains 5.8S ribosomal RNA, internal transcribed spacer 2, and large subunit ribosomal RNA". The stretch from base 1 to 105 matches the Rfam family "5.8S ribosomal RNA", at positions 50 to 154 of the family's 154-position model. The record is from RNAcentral.
GAAAUGCGAUAAGUAAUGUGAAUUGCAGAAUUCAGUGAAUCAUCGAAUCUUUGAACGCACCUUGCGCUCCCUGGUAUUCCGGGGAGCAUGCCUGUUUGAGUGUCAUGGUAUCCUCAACCUUCAUAACUUUUUUGUUAUCGAAGGCUUGGACUUGGAGGUUGUGCUGGCUUCUAGUCGUGUCGGCUCCUCUUAAAUGUAUUAGCGUGAGUGUAACGGAUCGCUUCGGUGUGAUAAUUAUCUGCGCCGUGGUCGUGAAGUAACAUAAGCUUGCGCUUCUAACCGUCCUUCAGUUGGACAACUUACUUUGACAUCUGACCUCAAAUCAGGUAGGACUACCCGCUGAACUUAAGC